Molecule: ribosomal RNA, 253 nt
Filed under: uncultured bacterium
Lineage: Bacteria
Description: partial 16S ribosomal RNA
Rfam family: Bacterial small subunit ribosomal RNA
Source: RNAcentral
UACGUAGGGUGCGAGCGUUAAUCGGAAUUACUGGGCGUAAAGCGUGCGUAGGCGGUCCGCGAAGUCUGAUGUGAAAGCCCCGGGCUCAACCUGGGAACUGCAUUGGAAACUAACGGGCUCGAGUGUGGCAGAGGGGGGUGGAAUUCCACGUGUAGCAGUGAAAUGCGUAGAUAUCUGGAGGAACACCGGUGGCGAAGGCGACAUCCUGGACCGGUAUUGACGCUGAGGCGCGAAAGCCAGGGGAGCAAACGGG